AGCACUUAUUAUUCUUAUUUGGCCUACAAUGGGUACAAAGUUAAAAUAAGUGCUUAUAUUAAAACCUUUUCUUGCAACCCACAACUAAUUGGGUAGUAUGAGUUGUGUUACUUAUGGGAAGGGACACU
Small nucleolar RNA from Xenopus tropicalis (tropical clawed frog), 128 nucleotides. Lineage: Eukaryota; Metazoa; Chordata; Amphibia; Anura; Pipidae. The record is from Ensembl.